Molecule: small nuclear RNA, 61 nt
Filed under: Sphenodon punctatus (tuatara)
Lineage: Eukaryota; Metazoa; Chordata; Lepidosauria; Sphenodontia; Sphenodontidae
Description: U7 small nuclear RNA (ENSSPUG00000014526.1)
Rfam family: U7 small nuclear RNA
About the family: Animal histone pre-mRNAs are spliced by a different mechanism than nuclear pre-mRNAs and self-splicing introns. This processing involves the U7 snRNP, which contains only one RNA species: U7. The 5' end of U7 RNA is thought to base-pair to a conserved spacer element downstream of the cleavage site in histone pre-mRNA.
Source: Rfam by way of RNAcentral
UAGUGAUUUCAGCUCUUUUAGUAUUUGUCCAGAAGGUUUCCUGCUACGGUGGGGAAUCUUG